CUACGGGUGGCUGCAGUCGAGAAUCUUCGGCAAUGGACGCAAGUCUGACCGAGCGAUGCCGCGUGCGGGAUGAAGGCCUUCGGGUUGUAAACCGCUGUCAGUUGGGAGGAAGGCUCCGUGAAGAGCGGAGUUUGACCUAUCUUCAGAGGAAGUCCGGGCUAAGUUCGUGCCAGCAGCCGCGGUAACACGAACCGGACGAACGUUAUUCGGAAUUAUUGGGCUUAAAGGGUGCGUAGGCGGUGCGGUAAGUGAGGUGUGAAAGCCCACGGCUCAACCGUGGAAUUGCGCUUCAUACUGCCGUGCUAGAGGGAGACAGAGGUAAGCGGAACUGAUGGUGGAGCGGUGAAAUGCGUUGAUAUCAUCAGGAACACCGGUGGCGAAAGCGGCUUACUGGGUCUCUUCUGACGCUGAGGCACGAAAGCUAGGGUAGCGAACGGGAUUAGAUACCCUCGUAGUC
This 457-nucleotide ribosomal RNA is filed under the name uncultured bacterium. RNAcentral describes it as "partial 16S ribosomal RNA". It matches the Rfam family "Bacterial small subunit ribosomal RNA", at positions 339 to 795 of the family's 1533-position model. The record is from RNAcentral.